Molecule: microRNA precursor, 83 nt
Organism: Lepisosteus oculatus (spotted gar)
Lineage: Eukaryota; Metazoa; Chordata; Actinopteri; Semionotiformes; Lepisosteidae
Gene: MIR181A1
Product: microRNA 181a-1
Source: Ensembl
GUUUGCUUCAGUGAACAUUCAACGCUGUCGGUGAGUUUGAGAUAAAUUGAGAAAACCAUCGACCGUUGAUUGUACCCUGCGGC